RNAcentral lists this ribosomal RNA (926 nucleotides) under Micromonospora fiedleri. Its description in RNAcentral is "bacterial SSU rRNA". It matches the Rfam family "Bacterial small subunit ribosomal RNA", at positions 86 to 1026 of the family's 1533-position model. The record is from RNAcentral. Lineage: Bacteria; Bacillati; Actinomycetota; Actinomycetes; Micromonosporales; Micromonosporaceae.
GGUACUCUAGCGGCGAACGGGUGACUACACGUGAGCAAACUGCCCUAGGCUUUGGGAUAACCCUCGGAAACGGGGGCUAAUACCGAAUAUUCACUUGCGGGCGCAUGUUUGUGGGUGGAAAGUUUUUCGGCUUGGGAUGGGCUCGCGGCCUAUCAGCUUGUUGGUGGGGUAAUGGCCUACCAAGGCGACGACGGGUAGCCGGCCUGAGAGGGCGACCGGCCACACUGGGACUGAGACACGGCCCAGACUCCUACGGGAGGCAGCAGUGGGGAAUAUUGCACAAUGGGCGGAAGCCUGAUGCAGCGACGCCGCGUGAGGGAUGACGGCCUUCGGGUUGUAAACCUCUUUCAGCAGGGACGAAGCGCAAGUGACGGUACCUGCAGAAGAAGCGCCGGCCAACUACGUGCCAGCAGCCGCGGUAAGACGUAGGGCGCGAGCGUUGUCCGGAUUUAUUGGGCGUAAAGAGCUCGUAGGCGGCUUGUCGCGUCGACUGUGAAAAACCGUGGCUCAACUGCGGGCCUGCAUUCGAUACGGGCAGGCUAGAGUUCGGUAGGGGAGACUGGAAUUCCUGGUGUAGCGGUGAAAUGCCCAGAUAUCAGGAGGAACACCGGUGGCGAAGGCGGGUCUCUGGCCCGAUACUGACGCUGAGGAGCGAAAGCGUGGGGAGCGAACAGGAUUAGAUACCCUGGUAGUCCACGCUGUAAACGUUGGGCGCUAGGUGUGGGGGGCCUCUCGGGUUCUCUGUGCCGCAGCUAACGCAUUAAGCCCCCCGCCUGGGGACUACGGCCGCAAGGCUAAAACCCAAAGGAAUUGACGGGGGCCCGCACAAGCGGCGGAGCAUGCGGAUUAAUUCGAUGCAACGCGAAGAACCUUACCUGGGUUUGACAUAGGCCGCAAUCCUGCAGAGAUGUCGCGUCCUUCGGGGG